AUGUUGCGGUACAAGUUUGUUUCUCACAAAUUUCAUGAUUUUGCAAGUGAAGCCGCAAGCGAUCCGGAAUGUAUCUUGUUGGUGGACAAUGCAUUGGACAUCCUUGCCAAGCAAGUACGGGAAAAACUGAGGAUAUCUAGAAGUAUUUUGAGUGAAUCCUCUAAUGUGCAGCCUAAUGUUCAACAAGAUGAGGGUUUGCUUAGUUCUGCACGCCUCAAGAAAAAAAGAGGUUCAACCGAAAAGUUCAAAGAGACAUAA
This 258-nucleotide ribosomal RNA is filed under the name Triticum aestivum (bread wheat). RNAcentral's name for it is "partial small subunit ribosomal RNA". The record is from RNAcentral. Lineage: Eukaryota; Viridiplantae; Streptophyta; Magnoliopsida; Poales; Poaceae.